UACGGAGGUGGCAAGCGUUGCUCGGAAUCACUGGGCGUAAAGGGCGCGUAGGCGGGGAGGUAAGUCGGGUGUGAAAUCCCUCGGCCCAACCGAGGAACUGCGCCCGAGACUGCUUCUCUUGAGUCCCGGAGAGGAAGAUGGAAUUCCCGGUGUAGCGGUGAAAUGUGUAGAGAUCGGGAGGAACACCGGUGGCGAAGGCGGUCUUCUGGACGGUGACUGACGCUGAGACGCGAAAGCGUGGGGAGCAAACGGG
This 253-nucleotide ribosomal RNA is filed under the name uncultured bacterium. Its description in RNAcentral is "partial 16S ribosomal RNA". It matches the Rfam family "Bacterial small subunit ribosomal RNA", at positions 524 to 776 of the family's 1533-position model. The record is from RNAcentral.